CCUCAUAAAAAAGGGAAAAAUCAAAGCUCCCUAUUUUAGCUUUGAAACCCUAGAUAUUAUAAUCGUCAUCAUUGCUUGCACAUAACCUCCCUGCUGUCACACUUAUCUACAAUCUCGUUUCUCUUUGCAAUUCUACUCUCACGAAUUCUGCUAGUAGAAUGGCUGGUCAUCGGAGUAAUUAUGGCAAGCGGCCACAUUCACAGUCUGACUACUCUGAAAGCGGGGGAAAUAAAAGAAGAAAUUCUGGAAGUGGUGAUAAAGACGCAUACUCUAUUGGACAAGAUGAUACAGUUUAUCGCUAUUUGUGCCCUGGAAAGAAGAUCGGAAGUAUUAUUGGAAGGGGCGGGGAAAUUGUCAAGCAACUGAGGUUGGAUACUAAAUCCAAAAUUCGAAUUGGGGAAUCUAUGCCCGGAAGUGAAGAACGUGUUGUUACUAUAUAUAGUGCUAGUGAGGAAACCAAUGAUUUGGAAGGCCGUGAUGGUCUAGUAUGCCCUGCUGAAGAUGCUCUAUUUAAGGUGCAUGAUAGAAUUGUUGCUGAGGAUUCUGCUGCAGAGGACUCGGAUGACCCCCCUCAUGUUACUGUCCGACUUCUAGUGCCAUCCGAUCAGAUUGGGUGUAUUAUUGGAAAGGGUGGACAGAUAGUUCAAAACAUUCGUAGUGAAACCGGGGCACAGGUUCGCAUUGUAAAGGAUGACCAUUUGCCAACAUGUGCUCUGAGUUCAGAUGAACUUGUGCAGAUAUCCGGUGAUGCGUCUGUGGUGAAGAAAGCUCUUCAUCAGAUUGCAUCUCGGCUUCAUGACAACCCCUCACGAUCUCAGCAUCUGCUCUCUUCAGCUAAUCAUACCGUCUACCCGUCUAAUAGUUCAGUUAUGGGGGCGUCAGCUGGACCUCCAAUCAUGGGAUUGGCACCACUAAUGGGGCACUAUGGGGGAUACAAGGGCGAGAGUGCAGACUGGUCUCGGUCUAUGUACUCAGCUCCAAGGACUGAAACAGCGCCUAAAGAAUUCUCACUUCGUUUGGUGUGUCCAACUGCUAAUAUUGGAGGUGUCAUUGGCAAGGGUGGUAUGAUAAUUAAUCAAAUAAGGCAGGAUUCUGGGGCAGGUAUUAAAGUUGAUAGUGCAGCCUCCGAGGGAGAUGAACGUGUGAUAUCCAUAACUGCGAAAGAGGUCUUUGAAGAUUCCUUCUCUCCAGCAAUUGAUGCAGCUUUGCGAUUACAGCCCAGGUGCAGUGAGAAAGUUGAAAGAGACUCUGGUCUUGUUUCAUUUACAACACGAUUACUUGUUCCUACUUCUCGAAUUGGAUGUCUUAUUGGGAAAGGAGGGUCCAUAAUAUCAGAGAUGAGGAAAGUCACCAAGGCCAAUAUUCGUAUACUAUCAAAAGAAAAUCUCCCUAAAGUUGCCUCUGAGGAUGAUGAGAUGGUGCAGGUUUCCGGAGACCUUGAUGUAGCCAAGGAUGCUCUCAUACAAGUAACUUCACGCUUGAGGGCUAAUCUGUUUGAAAAGGAGGGUGCUGUCUCUACAUUCCUGCCUGUCCUCCCAUAUCUUCCUAUGUCCGCAGAUGGUCCAGACAGUUACAAAUAUGAAAGUAGAGAUUCAAAGAGCCGUGGGCGUGGGGGUUAUUCUUACUCUGGUGGAUAUGGUGGAGCGGAUCUGCCACCUGUGGAUACCUAUGGUGGUCAUGGUGGUUUUCAGAGUGGUAGUGCCAGCUCUCCUUAUGGUGCUUAUGGUGGGAGCUAUUCAUCUGGGCGCUCUGUUGGUUCUGGGUUGUCAGGGCGUAAUCAUGCUUCACGUGGGAGGAACUAUGACUACUAGACGAAAUUAUUAAAUACAGGAAGUGAACAUGUCGAGAACCAGGUCUGUUGGAAUUUGCAAGCAUUUACUCAGUUCUCCGACGUCUUUUGGAAAAUCGUGAUUGUCAUUGGUAUUUGUCUAUAACUAGAGUUACUAUCAAUGGCAUGCUUGUGGGAUCAGCAGUAGUUGAAAACUCUCUCUUCCAACAGGUUCACGUUUGGUGGAUGGCUGUGAUGACUACAGGUAAUUUCGCCUAAAAUAUUCAGUAUUUUAGUCUUAAACAAUCCAAUUGAUAUGAGGUAUGGUUUCUGCUCUGGUGAUGGUGCAAAUCCAUAAUUUAUGGCACUCUUAUCUGCAAUUUGCAUCUUGCCUUUAAUGUUGAUUUCAUAUUCAGCCAUGGAUUUUCAUCUAGCAGUGAUGAAUGCGUCACUUUUGUUUUGGAUAAUGUUUCAUCAUGUUUAGAAAUUAGAAGCAUGUUUGAAGUUGCUUACUUUAUUAGAACAUAAUUUUGUUUAUAGUUGGAGCGAGGAAAUUUGUCAUGUGUAGGUUUACAUUCUGCUAUCUCGAACAAUUUCUAGUAUAUAAGCCAAAGUGUAUGCAACAUCACCUUGGGUGUACUUUGCCACAACAAAAUACUAGAUGCCGGAGAGCUUUCAACUGAUUUAGUAGUAUUUCUUAGAUCAGUUAUCUAACAAGCAGAGUGAGCUUGCUGGAUCAUACUCUCGAGCUUGUCUAUAUCCAGUUAAGCUCAAUCAUAAAUCAUCGUGCAAGUUUAUGUAUUUUAUGAACACGAGGUGAAGUCGUGAUCUGGCCUACUUACAUAUUUUUCAUUACUGCCUAUUUGAGUUGUGUAGCCUUUGCUAUCAAAUUGAUGUUGGAUAUAUGAGAAGAAUCAACAUGCAGGAUGUUUUCGUCUUUUACA
This is an RNA transcript of Salvia hispanica, 2712 nucleotides long. It is a transcript of the gene named RNA-binding KH domain-containing protein, with no coding region annotated. The record is from RefSeq and is a predicted model, not a curated record. Lineage: Eukaryota; Viridiplantae; Streptophyta; Magnoliopsida; Lamiales; Lamiaceae.